AUGCUCGCUUCGGCAGCACAUAUACUAAAAUUAGAACAAUACACAGUGAUUAGCAUGGCCCCUGUACAAGAAUGACGGGCAAAUUUGUAAAGUAUUCCAUAUUAAA
This is a small nuclear RNA of Dipodomys spectabilis (banner-tailed kangaroo rat), 106 nucleotides long. The record is from RefSeq and is a predicted model, not a curated record. Lineage: Eukaryota; Metazoa; Chordata; Mammalia; Rodentia; Heteromyidae.